CGUUUAUCUACGAAGAGCGAAACGUAGCCGUAGAGAUGGCCUUGAAACGGUAGGGCUAAUUCGAUAUUGACGUUCAAGUCCUUUGCUAUUGGCUAACUCCCCACCGCUAUUCGUACUGUCACUCAGAACUGUCAAAUCCCGCCGCCGUUAUUUUUACGCCAUUACAGUUUUCGCGUCGAGUAGUGAAGUGUUUGCGUUGAUUAAUUUCCGUACCUUUAUUUCUCCGUGAUAAUUGUAAUAUUCAGUGCUACGUUUCAUUUUGAUAUUCAAAAUGCCUCGCAAGUGCUGUAUACCCGGCUGUGAUAGUAAACGAAAGGACGUUAUGCUGCACAGAAUGCCAGCGGCCAGUGAAAAAGUUUUAUUGUGGCGUAAAACAAUUUCAGCAGUUCCAUUAACCAUUUUUGAGGGUUUGACAUCGGGUGAAAUUAGUAAACUACACGUUUGCCACAAUCACUUCGAGGCCAAAUACGUGUCUUCGAAGAUGCGGUUAAGGCCGAAUGCCUGUCCAACAUUGUUUACCCUCGAAGAAAUCACCACUGGAACGCCUGCUCACUCAUCUGCUGAAAGAGUUUAUAGGUUCCUACGCGGAAUUGUUAAAAUGGACACAACUUCAAGUUUAGUGUUCUACGCGGAAUUGUUAAAAUGGACUCAACUUCAAGUUUUCCCAGUCGAUGCCGCCGCUGAAAUGUUUUUUUUACUUUUUCUACAUGGUUCGUGUAUUCGUUAUUUGUAUUGUUCAUAUAAGUUUGUUACGUUUAUUUACAUUCAGUGUUAGUCUGGCCUAGUGGGUACAAUUUUAUUAUUAGUGUGAUGAGCAUGGAUAUUUGUUCCUGAGUAAUGGACCAAUAGUGGGACCGGAUUUUUGCACUAAAAGUUUUGAUAAUUCUAAAGAUGAAAAAGUGAUACUUAUCUGACAUGGGACAUAUUUUUAAGCAUAUUUGUAAAAUAUGACGAAAAGUUAGAACGAGCGUUAGAUAUAAAUUAGGUAUUUAUAUAUUUUUAGUAAUGAUUUUUUAAUAUUGAAUUAAAGUGCAAUG
Cydia splendana is the source of this 1037-nucleotide long non-coding RNA. RefSeq lists it as uncharacterized. NCBI's taxonomy places the organism in Eukaryota, Metazoa, Arthropoda, Insecta, Lepidoptera, Tortricidae. The transcript has 3 exons. The record is from RefSeq and is a predicted model, not a curated record.